RNAcentral lists this ribosomal RNA (468 nucleotides) under uncultured bacterium. Its description in RNAcentral is "bacterial SSU rRNA". It matches the Rfam family "Bacterial small subunit ribosomal RNA", at positions 329 to 793 of the family's 1533-position model. The record is from RNAcentral.
GGCCAGACUCCUACGGGAGGCAGCAGUGAGGAAUAUUGGUCAAUGGGCUUACGCCUGAACCAGCCAAGUCGCGUGAGGGAAGACUGCCCUAUGGGUUGUAAACCUCUUUUGUCAGGGAGCAAUUGGCGCUACGUGUAGCGUUAUCGAGAGUACCUGAAGAAAAAGCAUCGGCUAACUCCGUGCCAGCAGCCGCGGUAAUACGGAGGAUGCGAGCGUUAUCCGGAUUUAUUGGGUUUAAAGGGUGCGUAGGCGGAAUGCCAAGUCAGCGGUAAAAUCGCGGGGCUCAACCUCGCUCCGCCGUUGAAACUGGCGAACUCGAGAGGGAGAGAAGUAGGCGGAAUGCGCAGUGUAGCGGUGAAAUGCAUAGAUACUGCGCAGAACUCCGAUUGCGAAGGCAGCCUACCGGCUCCUGUCUGACGCUGAGGCACGAAAGCGUGGGUAUCGAACAGGAUUAGAUACCCCCGUACG